AUUGAACGCUGGCGGCAGGCCUAACACAUGCAAGUCGAGCGGAUGAAGGGAGCUUGCUCCUGGAUUCAGCGGCGGACGGGUGAGUAAUGCCUAGGAAUCUGCCUGGUAGUGGGGGAUAACGACCGGAAACGGGCGCUAAUACCGCAUACGUCCUGAGGGAGAAAGUGGGGGAUCUUCGGACCUCACGCUAUCAGAUGAGCCUAGGUCGGAUUAGCUAGUUGGUGGGGUAAAGGCCUACCAAGGCGACGAUCCGUAACUGGCCUGAGAGGAUGAUCAGUCACACUGGAACUGAGACACGGUCCAGACUCCUACGGGAGGCAGCAGUGGGGAAUAUUGGACAAUGGGCGAAAGCCUGAUCCAGCCAUGCCGCGUGUGUGAAGAAGGUCUUCGGAUUGUAAAGCACUUUAAGUUGGGAGGAAGGGCAGUAAGUUAAUACCUUGCUGUUUUGACGUUACCAACAGAAUAAGCACCGGCUAACUUCGUG
This 484-nucleotide ribosomal RNA is filed under the name uncultured bacterium. RNAcentral's name for it is "partial 16S ribosomal RNA". It matches the Rfam family "Bacterial small subunit ribosomal RNA", at positions 30 to 507 of the family's 1533-position model. The record is from RNAcentral.